Rhododendron vialii is the source of this 1711-nucleotide RNA transcript. It is a transcript of the gene named PHAF1 protein At3g51130, with no coding region annotated. NCBI's taxonomy places the organism in Eukaryota, Viridiplantae, Streptophyta, Magnoliopsida, Ericales, Ericaceae. The transcript has 16 exons. The record is from RefSeq and is a predicted model, not a curated record.
CGUUAACGUCGCACAAACGAUUUCCAACAUUUCUUGUGCCAGGAGGCAUCUUCUUCCACCGAUUCCCAUUCCUCUCUCUCUCUCUCUACCCGAAGCAAUCCAAACACGAAAGGCCUACCCAAACAUCGAUAAUAAUCAUCCAGAAAGACGACGACGACGACGGAAACAAGAAUCACACAGAGUGCGCGCGAUGCAGCAGAGACCUAGGCGCAGGUGCGAGGGCACGGCCAUGGGUGCCAUCGUAUUGGAUCUCCGCCCUGGCCUCGGAAUCGGACCCUUCUCUCUCGGAAUGCCGAUUUGCGAAGCUUUUGAUCAAAUAGAGCAGCAACCUAACAUCUACGAUGUUGUCCACGUGAAGUACCUUGACGAGGAGCCUCUAAAACUGGAUAUUGUUAUAAGCUUUCCGGAUCAUGGUUUCCAUCUUCGUUUCGAUCCAUGGUCACAGAGGCUACGGCUUAUUGAAAUUUUUGAUGUUAAGCGGCUUCAAAUGCGUUAUGCUGCUACCUUGAUUGGGGGACCUUCCACUCUAGCUACUUUUGUAGCUGUAUAUACACUUUUUGGGCCAACAUUUCCUGGAAUUUAUGACAAAGAUAGAGGUGUCUACACCCUAUUCUAUCCAGGAUUAUCCUUUUCUUUUCCGAUUCCAGCUCAGUAUACGGAUUGCUGUCGUCAUGGAGAAGCGGAGUUACCCUUGGAGUUCCCGGAUGGCACUACUCCAGUCACUUGCCGUGUCUCUAUCUAUGAUAGCUCUACAGAUAGUAAAGUUGGUGUUGGUUCGCUAACAGACAAGGCUCAUGCUCCUCCUCUGCCUGUUGGCAGCCUCUAUAUGGAAGAGGUGCAUGUUGAGCUUGGGGAAGAGUUAUGGUUUACUAUUGGCGGGCAGCAUAUCCCAUUUGGUGCAUCACCACAAGAUGUGUGGACUGAAUUAGGCCGUCCUUGUGGAAUUCAUCAAAAGCAGGUAGAUCAAAUGGUGAUACAUUCUGCCUCUGAUCCUCGGCCACGGACAACUCUCUGUGGUGAUUACUUCUACAAUUAUUUCAGUCGUGGCUUGGACAUAUUAUUUGAUGGCCUGACUCACAAAAUCAAGAAAUUUGUUUUGCACACCAACUUUCCAGGGCAUGCAGAUUUUAAUUCGUACAUAAAGUGCAAUUUUUCUAUUUAUAGUUCUGAUUUUGGUGGGUCGUUUCAUCGUGAAGUAAAUCCCUCUAAACAUUGCAUUACACCCAGCACAAAAUGGGAGCAAGUGAAGGAGAUUCUUGGGGAUUGUGGCCGAGCUGCCAUCCAAACAAAAGGUUCUGCAAGCAAUCCUUUUGGAUCAACUUUUGUAUAUGGCUAUCAGAAUGUUGCUUUUGAGGUUAUGAAGAAUGGUUAUAUCGCAACUGUCACUCUCUUCCAGUCAUGAUGAAGUGCUGUUUGUAUUUAUUUGUGUGUAGAUUUUGAACGGUGGUUGAUUUGAGUUGGUGAAGUUGAUAUUUAUGCUUCUAGAAGACUCGAAUUAGAUCUCUGGUACGACAUCCAGGGUGCUGGUGGCUUUGUACAUAGUGGUUAUAAAACAGCAAGUACUGCUUGUAAUAAUCCUGGUGGAGUCUUUCAUAUUUGUACAGCUCUGUAAUUGCUUGUACAGUUCAUGUAAUGCAUUUAAUUAACGAAGUAUCAUGCGGGAAGGUUUAUCGCGUAGAAUCUGGUAUAACAAGAAAUGUUGAAUGAGGAA